RNAcentral lists this small RNA (137 nucleotides) under Mariniflexile fucanivorans. RNAcentral's name for it is "Flavo-1 RNA". It matches the Rfam family "Flavo-1 RNA". Lineage: Bacteria; Pseudomonadati; Bacteroidota; Flavobacteriia; Flavobacteriales; Flavobacteriaceae. The record is from Rfam by way of RNAcentral.
GUUUAGCCCCGAUUGAGGCGGCAUCCUUUUUAAAAUAAUGAAACUGAAACUUACGGCUAACUAGGAAUAGGCAGAUUGCUUCGUCGUGCCUCCUCGCAAUGACGUUUAAAAAGAUAUAGCCGAAAGCGGGAAAUAGC